RNAcentral lists this long non-coding RNA (2547 nucleotides) under Sus scrofa (pig). Its description in RNAcentral is "lncRNA (ENSSSCG00035049046.1)". Lineage: Eukaryota; Metazoa; Chordata; Mammalia; Artiodactyla; Suidae. The record is from RNAcentral.
AUCCUUUGCCUGGGUUUGCUGUGUCCCAUGGCCACCCAGGGUCCUCCCGCCUGGAGGCUGGGUCCUGCGGGGACGGGGAGAGAGCCCCACUGGCCACACUGGGGCUGCCUCUCACCGUGGCUGACUCCGCCUGGAUCCCUCAUCUGUCAGGUACGGUUCUAGGCCCUGGGAAUCCACUGAUGAAGGAGGCAGAUAAAGACCCCUGGAGGCAGGAAGCCCAGAUUCUGGAAACGAGGACGUGCAGGCCCGUGAGCAUCUCCGUAUCUGUUGGACCCCUCCUGCCUCCAUCUGCAGGACUGGAGCUGGGGGGGUGGGGGUGGGCGGUAGGGUGCUGGGACUCCUCCGUGUCUAGCUUCCAGCUCUGGGCACAGAGGCAUCGGGAUGGGAGGGGAGCCGCGGAGCCCCGGGUUCUGGUCCCACUCUGCCUCUGACAAUCCUGGGGAAAGCUGAGCGUCACUUUCCCAGCUGUACCACGGAGAGGGCGGUGGGGGGUUUGAUGAUACCUCGGCCCUGUGCCUUGUCCUACCUUCUGCUCCACCUCUGAUAAGCUGGUGCUGCCUUUUCCUCAGCAGGUCUGUUGACAUAAAUGUCACACACCAAACGACUCACCUCUUUAAAGUGUACGACUAGGGAGCUCCCUCCAUGGCUCAGUGGUUAACGUAUCUGACGAGCACCCAUGAGAACGCAGGUCUGAUCCCUGGCCUUGCUCAGUGGGUUAAGGAUCCAGCGUUGCUGUGAGCUGUGGUGUAGGCAGGCGGCUACAGCUCUGAUUCGACCCCUAACCUGGGAACCUCCAUAUGUCACAGGUGCGGCUCUAAAAAGAAAAGAAAACAAAACAAAACAAAGUGAGACUCAGUGAUUUCCGUGUAUGUUCACAGGGCUGUGCAGCCAUGACCACAGUGGAGAGAAUGUCAUUGUCACCCCCCAAAAAGAAGCACACGCUCCCUAGCAGUCUCUCUCUCUGCCCCCCACACCCCUGCCACUCAUCUAUUUUCCGUCUCUAUGGGUUGACCUGUUCUGGACAUUUCAUAGAAAAGGAAUUACGCAAUUUAUGGUCUUUUGUGUCUUCUUUCUUUCAUUCACCAUAAAGUUUCCAAGGUUCUUCUAAGUUGUGUAUUCACUCACUGGCGCUGUGUCCUUUUUAUGGUGAUAGGCUGGUUCUUUGAGGUCUGAGGCCCCUCUCUUCUGCUUGAUUAAGCUCCUCCAGGAGAGCUGUGUGUGUGGUCUGGGUCUCCUAGAGGUCCUUUGGUUUCAAUCCUGAUAUUAAAAAGGUCUCUCCAGGGGAGUUCCCGCUGUGGCCCAGUGGGUUACGAUGCUGACUGCAGCAACUCAGGUUGCUGAAGAGGCAUUCUGACCCCCAGCCAGUGGGUUAAAGGAUCCAGCAUUUCAGCAGCUGUGGCGUAGUGGCAGCUCGGAUUCGACCCCUAGUCUGGGAACUUCCACAUGUUGAGGAAUGCAGCUGUAAAACAAACAAACAAACAAAGAAACAAAAAAAAUGGGUCUUUUAAGGACUUCCCGGGUAGCCUAGUGGUUAAAGAUCUGGUGUCGUCACUGCUGUGGUGUGGGUUCAAUCCCUGGCCCAGGAACUUCUGUGUGCCACGGGGUGGCAUAAACAAACAAGCAAUUAAAAGGUCUCUCCAAGGUCUUGCUGGCUUUCCUGAUGGGGGAGAGUGCUCUUCUUCCUCCUCUCUCCCCUCCUCCAGCCAGGCUGGACAGUCUGUGAUAGAAUAUGUGUCUUGGGAAUCUUUGCAGAAGCCUAUAUUCUCUUCUGUCCUGCAUGUGGAAGACUAUUCUUUUGUUCUUUCAUUUGUUAAUUUAUCCAUCCAUCCAUCAUCCAUCCAUCAUCCAUCCAUCAUCCAUCAUCCAUCCAUCAUCCAUCCAUCCAUUCAUCAUCCAUCAUCCGUCCAUCCAUCUGUCAUUCCUCCAUCCAUCAUUCAUCCAUCCAUCCAUCCAUCAUUCACCCAUCCACCCAUUCAUUCAACCUCCAUCUAUCCAUCCAUCAUCUGUUCAUCCAUCCAUCAUCCAUCCAUUAUCUGUCCAUCCAUCUAUCAUUCCCUCAUCCAUCAUUUAUCCAUCCAUCAAUCCAUCCAUUUUUAUCUUCAUUCAACACGUAUUUACUGAACACCAACAACAGGGCUGGGGGAAGAAUUGUGGAGGAAUCAGACAUGAGGGGAGAGAAGAGCAGGUGAUAAAUAGAAACAGGUGAAUGCAAGAAUUCCAACUGGAGUCAGUGAGGAGCAUACAUAGACAAUGAUGUAGUAGGGGAAAGAGCUUGCGGUGUAGCCGUGGUCGCCCUGCCGCCCUGCCCACCUGAAACUCCACGGCCAGUCUUGACGCCAGCUCUGGUCUGCCUCUGCCCGUCUAUACCCUGCUCCCUUCCCCCCACACCUGCGAGCAAACGUCCUGAGAGCAAAUCACAGUCGUCACUCACCGGAUCUGUGACUGCUCCAGCAUGGCGCUGAAAAACAAGGAAACCUUGAAAGGUCCACCAUUUCAUUUUAAAAGUCCGCCAUGAUCAUUCCUACAAGUAAUAAACAGUAAUUCCUU